AAAACGGAGAGUUUGAUCCUGGCUCAGGAUGAACGCUGGCGGUAUGCUUAACACAUGCAAGUCGAACGGUGUCUUCGGACACAGUGGCGGACGGGUGAGUAACGCGUGAGAAUCUGGCUCUAGGUCUGGGACAACCACUGGAAACGGUGGCUAAUACCGGAUGUGCCGAGAGGUGAAAGGUUAACUGCCUGGAGAUGAGCUCGCGUCUGAUUAGCUAGUAGGUGUGGUAAAGGCGCACCUAGGCGACGAUCAGUAGCUGGUCUGAGAGGACGAUCAGCCACACUGGGACUGAGACACGGCCCAGACUCCUACGGGAGGC
This 319-nucleotide ribosomal RNA is filed under the name Nostoc linckia FACHB-391. Its description in RNAcentral is "bacterial SSU rRNA". It matches the Rfam family "Bacterial small subunit ribosomal RNA", at positions 1 to 349 of the family's 1533-position model. The record is from RNAcentral. Lineage: Bacteria; Bacillati; Cyanobacteriota; Cyanophyceae; Nostocales; Nostocaceae. RNAcentral also lists the same sequence under 1 other name.